AAGAGUAAAACCACUUUUCGUGUCCCCCGGUGAAUUGACGAAAUUACCCCCAGCCUUUCACUCUCGCACAAUCACAUACGGAGUAGCUCUCUUUCUCUCUCCUAGGUCUUCGGCAUCCCUGCUCCCUCCCGUUUUCUCUCUCCUUCCUCUUCAUCUUCUUCGAUCUUCUUCCUCUAAUCCUCUUCCACCGAACCCCAUCCUCCAUUCUAAACCCUAAUAUUUCGUGUCUCUUUCACAGGACACGCAGACUCUCUCCUCCACCCAUCGCCAUCGCCAUCGCCGGUUCUUUCGAUUUCAAUUAAUGAGAAUUGGCCACUGCACUCCGCCGUUGUCUCCGCCCUGAGCAGUUCCGCUCUUUUCCUGCCUUCAAAUCGAUCUGAUUGUUGAAUCCAAAUUGAAAUUCAGCCCUUUUCUUCCUAAAACGUUGUGGGUUUCUAUUAAUUCUCGACACAAAAUCUUGGAAACCAAUAAAUUUCUCACCUGGUGUAAUCAUUUUAAGGUCAUUUGAAGAAGAGGAGAGUGUGGUGGAGGAGGAAAGUGAUUCCGACGAUGGUGGGUUAAAGGUGUUUUUUCCGAUUUUGGGAUAUCCUGGAAAUUCGUUUUUAUUUGGGCAAUAAUGCCAAGUUCUUGAAAAAGGUAAUUCUUAUUUCUUUAAUCUUCAGAUGAUUAAAUUUCAUAUUUUCACAGUUAUUAUGAGAUCUGGAGAUUUUGUUGAUCAUGUGCUCUUUCUGAUUUUGGUUUGGAUUUCUUAACAAGCUCUUCAAUAAUCAAAUGGUAUUACAUCUGACCUAAUUUCAGUUUCGAUUUUAUUAUAUUUUUGUGUAAUAUUUCUGUAUUUCGAUAGGAUUUUGAAACCUGUAAUGGAAUUGAGGAAGUUGCUGCAAUUAUUAGAGACAAACAAGAAUGUCGAAGAACUCUUUCUUCUGAUCUCAACGACCAUGUCUCCUUUUAUUUAUUUUCUGCUUAAUUAUGGAUUAAUUCAGCAAUUAAUUACAUUUAAUAAUUGUUUUUUUUUGUUAUUCGAUUAUCUUUAGCAGGUGCUGGUUGAAGGAAAUUCGCAUAGUCGUACUACUGUUUUCUGGCUUGAAUAAACAGGACUACGGGUAUUAUGGGCAAGAAACAAGGGGAAGUAGAAAAGGGGCAGAGGAGAUAUGAUAAUGGUAGUGGGGACUUUUAUACAGAGCCAUCAAUGUAGCGGGUGAUUCCAUCUCGAAUUUCAAAGAAAAACAAGGGCCAGAUAUCACCGAACGAGUUCAUCCCCGGGCUUUUGGAUCUUCACUCUCAUGAUGCUGAACUUCUCACUGAGAUUUAUUGUUGAAGGUUCAGAACUCGAUCGUCGGCAACUGGAGUAGUCGAUCUUUAUUAGUCGUAGAGCAGUCGAUCGAUCUGCAGCAGCAUACCAAAACUCAGUAGCAGUGCAUUGUAUCGCAUAUGCUGCAUACCAAAGGCCAAAGAUUGGCAUACAACUGGAUUAGGUUUGGAUGAAAAUUUUCUGUUGGAAUUUUUACUGUUAUGAGAACGAUAUGUUGGACAAUAUUGAUGUAGAUGUGAUUAUACAUUUUGCAUCUCAAAAUUCUAGACAAAAUCGAUUUUUAUGAUUUAUAAUAGGAGUUGAAUGAAGA
This is a long non-coding RNA of Spinacia oleracea (spinach), 1622 nucleotides long. RefSeq lists it as uncharacterized. The transcript has 7 exons. NCBI's taxonomy places the organism in Eukaryota, Viridiplantae, Streptophyta, Magnoliopsida, Caryophyllales, Amaranthaceae. The record is from RefSeq and is a predicted model, not a curated record.